This 91-nucleotide transfer RNA is filed under the name Atopobium sp. oral taxon 416. RNAcentral describes it as "tRNA-Ser". It matches the Rfam family "tRNA". From Rfam's summary of the family: Transfer RNA (tRNA) molecules are approximately 80 nucleotides in length. Lineage: Bacteria; Bacillati; Actinomycetota; Coriobacteriia; Coriobacteriales; Atopobiaceae. The record is from RNAcentral. RNAcentral also lists the same sequence under 1 other name.
GGAGAGGUGGCAGAGUGGCCGAAUGCGGCGGUCUCGAAAACCGUUUACCUCUAUUUGAGGUACGUGAGUUCGAAUCUCACCCUCUCCGCCA